Molecule: ribosomal RNA, 485 nt
Filed under: uncultured bacterium
Lineage: Bacteria
Description: bacterial SSU rRNA
Rfam family: Bacterial small subunit ribosomal RNA
Source: RNAcentral
GAUGAACGCUGGCGGCGUGCUUAACACAUGCAAGUCGAACGGUGAAGCCCAGCUUGCUGGGUGGAUCAGUGGCGAACGGGUGAGUAACACGUGAGCAACCUGCCCCUGACUCUGGGAUAAGCGCUGGAAACGGCGUCUAAUACCGGAUACGACAACCGAUGGCAUCUUCUGGUUGUGGAAAGAAUUUCGGUUGGGGAUGAGCUCGCGGCCUAUCAGCUAGUUGGUGAGGUAACGGCUCACCAAGGCGACGACGGGUAGCCGGCCUGAGAGGGUGACCGGCCACACUGGGACUGAGACACGGCCCAGACUCCUACGGGAGGCAGCAGUGGGGAAUAUUGCACAAUGGGCGCAAGCCUGAUGCAGCAACGCCGCGUGAGGGACGACGGCCUUCGGGUUGUAAACCUCUUUUAGUAGGGAAGAAGCGAAAGUGACGGUACCUGCAGAAAAAGCACCGGCUAACUACGUGCCAGCCGCCGCAGUAAAAC